This 243-nucleotide ribosomal RNA is filed under the name uncultured Actinomycetales bacterium. RNAcentral describes it as "partial 16S ribosomal RNA". It matches the Rfam family "Bacterial small subunit ribosomal RNA", at positions 88 to 334 of the family's 1533-position model. The record is from RNAcentral. Lineage: Bacteria; Bacillati; Actinomycetota; Actinomycetes; Actinomycetales.
UGCUCGAGUGGCGAACGGGCGAGUAACACGUGGGUGAUCUGCCCUGCACUUCGGGAUAAGCUUGGGAAACUGGGUCUAAUACCGGAUAGGACCAUCGUUUAGUGUCGGUGGUGGAAAGUUUUUUCGGUGUGGGAUGAGCUCGCGGCCUAUCAGCUUGUUGGUGGGGUAAUGGCCUACCAAGGCGUCGACGGGUAGCCGGCCUGAGAGGGUGUACGUCCACAUUGGGACUGAGAUACGGCCCAG